This 250-nucleotide ribosomal RNA is filed under the name uncultured bacterium. RNAcentral's name for it is "partial 16S ribosomal RNA". It matches the Rfam family "Bacterial small subunit ribosomal RNA", at positions 355 to 597 of the family's 1533-position model. The record is from RNAcentral.
UGGGGAAUUUUGGACAAUGGGGGCAACCCUGAUCCAGCCAUUCCGCGUGAGUGAAGAAGGCCUUCGGGUUGUAAAGCUCUUUCGGCCGGGAAGAAAUCGUGCGGGCCAAUACCCUGUAUGGAUGACGGUACCGGAAGAAGAAGCACCGGCUAACUACGUGCCAGCAGCCGCGGUAAUACGUAGGGUGCGAGCGUUAAUCGGAAUUACUGGGCGUAAAGGGUGCGCAGGCGGUUUUGUAAGACAGGUGUGA